This 70-nucleotide transfer RNA is filed under the name Arthrobacter phage Racecar. Its description in RNAcentral is "tRNA-Met". The record is from RNAcentral. Lineage: Duplodnaviria; Heunggongvirae; Uroviricota; Caudoviricetes. RNAcentral also lists the same sequence under 2 other names.
GCCAGCACGUUAUGGUAGCGGCCUGCCUCUCAUAAGGGCGGGACGAGAGUUCGAUUCUCUCUGCUGGUAC